This 70-nucleotide transfer RNA is filed under the name Ictidomys tridecemlineatus (thirteen-lined ground squirrel). RNAcentral's name for it is "Spermophilus tridecemlineatus (thirteen-lined ground squirrel) tRNA". It matches the Rfam family "tRNA". Rfam says of the family: Transfer RNA (tRNA) molecules are approximately 80 nucleotides in length. The record is from Rfam by way of RNAcentral. Lineage: Eukaryota; Metazoa; Chordata; Mammalia; Rodentia; Sciuridae.
GGGGAUAUAACUCAGUUGGUAGAGUGCUUGCCUUGCCUGCAUAAGGAUCUGGGUUCAAUCCCCAGCACCA